RNAcentral lists this ribosomal RNA (253 nucleotides) under uncultured bacterium. Its description in RNAcentral is "partial 16S ribosomal RNA". It matches the Rfam family "Bacterial small subunit ribosomal RNA", at positions 524 to 776 of the family's 1533-position model. The record is from RNAcentral.
UACAGAGGUGGCAAGCGUUGUUCGGAAUUAUUGGGCGUAAAGGGCGCGUAGGCGGUGCGGUAAGUCACCUGUGAAAACUCUGGGCUCAACUCAGAGCCUGCAGGCGAAACUGCCGUGCUUGAGUGUGGGAGAGGUGCGUGGAAUUCCCGGUGUAGCGGUGAAAUGCGUAGAUAUCAGGAGGAACACCUGUGGCGAAAGCGGCGCACUGGACCACAACUGACGCUGAGGCGCGAAAGCUAGGGGAGCAAACAGG